RNAcentral lists this ribosomal RNA (440 nucleotides) under uncultured bacterium. RNAcentral's name for it is "bacterial SSU rRNA". It matches the Rfam family "Bacterial small subunit ribosomal RNA", at positions 339 to 796 of the family's 1533-position model. The record is from RNAcentral.
CUACGGGAGGCAGCAGUGGGGAAUCUUGGACAAUGGGGGAAGCCCUGAUCCAGCCAUGCCGCGUGAAUGAUGAAGGCCUUAGGGUUGUAAAAUUCUUUCAGCAGGGAAGAUAAUGACGGUACCUGCAGAAGAAGCCCCAGCUAACUCCGUGCCAGCAGCCGCGGUAAUACGGAGGGGGCUAGCGUUGUUCGGAAUUACUGGGCGUAAAGCGCACGUAGGCGGCUUGGAAAGUCAGAGGUGAAAGCCCAGGGCUCAACCCUGGAAUAGCCUUUGAAACUAUCAAGCUAGAGUUCGGGAGAGGUGAGUGGAAUUCCGAGUGUAGAGGUGAAAUUCGUAGAUAUUCGGAGGAACACCAGAGGCGAAGGCGACUCACUGGACCGAUACUGACGCUGAGGUGCGAAAGCGUGGGGAGCAAACAGGAUUAGAAACCCUAGUAGUCC